UCGAUCUUUGAGAGUACUUCCUUAGACGCAAAGGAAUGAGUAGCAUAAGCUUCUUAGCUUCUUUUCUUAAAUAUGAGGAUGAUACAUUGGAAAUUACAGAAAACACAAUGCAUACAAAAGCCACGUAAUACAAACUCAUUAAUUUGUUUAAAUAGCUGUAGCUUAACAACUUUAACGACUAGAACAACAUCUUGGUACUGCCGUUGUUGUGUAACUAAGAGAUUUAUCAGCGGCCAUUGCCGCCACCACCACUGCCAGAUCCACUUCCUACACCCACACCUUUUCCAGCUCCAGUACCAACACCAACUCCUAUGCCAAUCCCAACUCCAGCUCCAAAUCCUCCGCCAUGUCCGCCUCCUAAUCCUCCACCAUGUCCGCCACCUAAUCCUCCAC
This 393-nucleotide long non-coding RNA is filed under the name Nicotiana tabacum (common tobacco). RNAcentral describes it as "long non-coding RNA (NTAB_LNC003627)". Lineage: Eukaryota; Viridiplantae; Streptophyta; Magnoliopsida; Solanales; Solanaceae. The record is from RNAcentral.